GGGGCCGUCCCGGAUUCGACAGGUUGGUGAAAGCCGACCCGUGAUGCAGGUCGAGAGUGAGUCUACUCUCGUAAAUUCAGGCUCAACUUCAAAAGUAACUGCGAACAACAUCGUUCCAUUUGCUCGUAAAGCAGCACCUGUUGCUGCCUAAAAGCCUCUGGUUAGGCACGAGCGUUCAUAGUCUGACUCCGUUAAGGGCUAUGGACAAAACCCCAACGGAUGCGCACUUUAAUUGCCUCUGGUCGAUUGAGUGCAAAGACGGUAGGGAAAUAUCCAGCCUGGACAGCAGUUCAACUCUGCUCGGCUCCAUUU
This 312-nucleotide transfer-messenger RNA is filed under the name Cyanobacteria bacterium QS_4_48_99. It matches the Rfam family "transfer-messenger RNA". Rfam says of the family: Bacterial tmRNA, also known as 10Sa RNA or SsrA, is named for its dual tRNA and mRNA-like properties. Its role is to liberate the mRNA from a stalled ribosome. To accomplish this part of the tmRNA is used as a reading frame that ends in a translation stop signal. The record is from RNAcentral. Lineage: Bacteria; Bacillati; Cyanobacteriota. RNAcentral also lists the same sequence under 1 other name.